This 76-nucleotide transfer RNA is filed under the name Sphaerisporangium krabiense. RNAcentral's name for it is "tRNA-Arg". It matches the Rfam family "tRNA". Rfam says of the family: Transfer RNA (tRNA) molecules are approximately 80 nucleotides in length. The record is from RNAcentral. Lineage: Bacteria; Bacillati; Actinomycetota; Actinomycetes; Streptosporangiales; Streptosporangiaceae. RNAcentral also lists the same sequence under 1 other name.
GCGCCCUUAGCUCAGCUGGACAGAGCACCGGACUUCUAAUCCGACGGUCGCAGGUUCGAAUCCUGCAGGGCGCGCC